UGCGCAGGCGGUUUUGUUAAGCGAGAUGUGAAAGCCCUGGGCUCAACCUAGGAAUAGCAUUUCGAACUGGCGAACUAGAGUCUUGUAGAGGGGGUAGAAUUCCAGGUGUAGCGGUGAAAUGCGUAGAGAUCUGGAGGAAUACCGGUGGCGAAGGCGGCCCCCUGGACAAAGACUGACGCUCAUGCACGAAAGCGUGGGGAGCAAACA
RNAcentral lists this ribosomal RNA (207 nucleotides) under uncultured bacterium. RNAcentral describes it as "partial 16S ribosomal RNA". It matches the Rfam family "Bacterial small subunit ribosomal RNA", at positions 568 to 774 of the family's 1533-position model. The record is from RNAcentral.